This 360-nucleotide long non-coding RNA is filed under the name Sus scrofa (pig). Its description in RNAcentral is "lncRNA (ENSSSCG00040014095.1, ENSSSCG00050077168.1)". Lineage: Eukaryota; Metazoa; Chordata; Mammalia; Artiodactyla; Suidae. The record is from RNAcentral.
CAAGCACCGAGACCAAGAACUUGGCAGAGACCAGAGGGGUCCCAUCACCAGAGGCUGAAAUAACAGGAAUUAUAUGGAGCCUGCUGUGAGCAAGAGAUAAAGGGCAUGGAGGUUCUCGGGAAUGGGGGUGGAAGAAGAGAGGGGCUGUAUCUACAGGUGUGAAACCAUCCGAUCCAGACCAGCAGCAGUUGAGAGCUCUAUGCUUUGCCUACAUGCUCUAUGCUUAUGGAAGGUCCCCAGAGCGAAGCCUUGUCAGUUUUGGAACAGGCUGAAGGAACAGGGCAAGGACCGUGCCUAACUUAUCAUCAACCCCACACCAAGAUCGAUGUUGCUGAAAUACACGUCUGAAGUUAUACCUAA